Molecule: long non-coding RNA, 746 nt
Organism: Cyprinus carpio carpio
Lineage: Eukaryota; Metazoa; Chordata; Actinopteri; Cypriniformes; Cyprinidae
Source: Ensembl
GGGGUGCGGUUACACCAUAACCAGUUUGUGCUGCUGCCAGGGGCCAAACCCACAGGCUGACAAAAACAGUCUACUUUGCAUCCCUCUACUUUCUGCUGUGCCUGAAGGCGUCAUAUUUUCUCAAAUCAGAGGUAAGUCGGUUGAAUUUCUUCGUACAUAUUAGUAAUGAACUUGCAACUUUCUGUUUAGUGUCAGUGAUUUGAAUGCAAUUUUAUAAACUUCAGAGCAUGUAGUAAAGUCUCAGGAAAAAAGAUACUAAUAUGUACUUUUAAAAUACUUAUAUGUAGCUUUAAGGUACUAACAUGUACCCUUUAUGUGUAAAUCGGUACAAAGAUGUUCCUUUUAGUUUUUGUACCUUGGGAUACUGCCCCAGUGACAGCUUUGUUUCUUUUUUCUGAGUGUGUAGGCUACACUUACUGUCAAACGGGCAAUGGAGUGGCAAUGAAAAAGAUCUCUGCAGGAUACGAUCCAAGAACAACAGGAGGCCAGGAACAUGACCCUGAAAUGAUGCCCCAAGAUCAGCUUAGUUUUCCAGACAAACAAUUUGAGUGACGACAUCCAGUGUGCAGUUCUCUAAAAGAUUGGCAUAGUCCUCAUCAUCUGGCCAAUUUUUAGGGUGUUUUUUGUUCAGCAAAAGUGUUUAGUCAUAAUGGGUGUGCAUUCCGAAACACAGUGGCAGAACUUUCACAUUUUAUAACAAUACCUUCCAUUUGCAUAUUACUCACUCGCUUGUUUUUUUGUGUCUA